Long non-coding RNA from Oncorhynchus keta (chum salmon), 1825 nucleotides. RefSeq lists it as uncharacterized. The transcript has 2 exons. Lineage: Eukaryota; Metazoa; Chordata; Actinopteri; Salmoniformes; Salmonidae. The record is from RefSeq and is a predicted model, not a curated record.
AUAUCUUUCUGGACCUUUGCCACCUUGGAAACCCCUGCCCUAGGUUGACUAGGUGAAGAGGAAGCAGGGGAUGGGGAAAGUUCAAGAAUGCCCCUGUAGGCUCCAGGACACCAUGUGGGAGAGCUGCUAACAGGUUUUGGAGGACUUUAUGUUCAAGGGGACUUUGUUGUUUGUUUUGAGUAAAUGUGGGGUUUUAUUUAUUUUUACCCCAGUACGCACUGGAAAGGGGAGAGGUUAGUGGAGGAGUGGCGGAGCGAGUUCUGGGCCAUCUCUGCCCAGGGUAUAAACGCAGCCCACUCCCCCAGCCGGUCUUGGCAAUAAGACCGCAGAAACCUACCCACAUCCUGGUUCACUCUCUCCACCUGCCCGUUACUCUCGGGGUGAAAACCUGAGGUAAGGCUGACCGAGACCCCCAGACAUUCCAUGAAUGCCCUCCAGACCCUUGACGUGAACUGGGGACCUCGAUCAGAUACAAUGUCCUCAGGCACCAGUAGUGCCGGAAAAUGACCUGCUCGCAAACACAGACAUGGCUGGUGGCCCAUGAGCGAGUUUUUUAUGACCUUUGUGCUAUUUCUCUGUUGUCAUAAUCAAUAUUGAGCAUUUUGCUGACCAGUGGUUGACAUUCAAAGUCCAACUUUCAUCAUCAAAGAGAGUGAGACCUGCUCUGACUUUGUCAGUCACUCAGUCAAAACCGAAAACGUAAUGAGGGUGCCAAAAAAGGGCUCUUGUUGCGAAAUGUGUGAAAUUAAUCUACUUAUUUCCUAAAAGUUCUGGUUCUGCUGGUCCGUGUCAGGCGAGGGGCUUUCAGUACCUCGUGGAGUGGGAGCGUGUACGGUCCGGAGGAGAGAUGCUGGGUGAGACAGCACAGCCCCUGUCCCAGCCUCGGACGCAUCCACCUCAACUAUGAACGCUAAGGAGGGAUCAGGAUGAGCCAGCACGGGAGCCGAGGAAAACAGAGCCUUCAGUUGACUAAAAGCCCUGUCCACCUCAGUGAACUCUUGAGUACUCCUCAUCCCCUGUCUUAAAUGGAACAAUUGUUCCCCCGCCUCUAUCCCUUCAGGUGGGUGAUUGAAACUGCCUGGAAGUGGCGGGUGAAACCUUCGUAGUUGUCCAACGUCGGGCCUUCUCUUCCCCAGAUGGCGUUGGCCCAGACCAGUGAUUUUCCAGUUAGACGAGAUGAGGGCGCUCACUCUCUCGCGUCCCAAGGGGGCCGGCUAAACAGCUGCCAGGUAGAGCUUCAGCUGGAGUAGGAACCUCUGGCACACGGCAGCCGUUCCAUCAUACGCUCCUGGGAGCGAGAGCCGAAUCUCACUGGAACCUGAUGAAGGAGGUGUGGACAUCUGGGUCGGUUGUUGUGGGAACUGGGGAGGUGCUGAUGGGUGAACCGGAAAACCCCUUCUCUCCCAUCGGUCCAUGGUUUGCAGCACCGAUCCAUGGCUGUACCAAGACUUUGUAACAUGGUCGCAUGCUGCUGAACACGCUCCUCCAUUGGGAGAGGAGGGCUGGCUGUACCUGCUGACUCCAUUUAAGAUAUUCUACUGCAGUUGAUGUUUCACGUCUACUCCUGCUCCCUCCCUCUCUCCAGCGCUCGAAGUCACCGGUCUACUAACCACCGGUCCUGGCAACCCAUCAUUACGAACACCUGCGCCUCAUCAUUAGGCACACCUGAACUUCAUCACUUCCCUGAUUAAUCCCCCUUCCCCCUCUAGCACUCCGUUGUUGUCACCCAUUAGUCAGUAUUGUUUCUGUGUUGUGUUUAGGCUCGACUCUUCUUCCUGUAUCAAUGCUAUGUUUGUUCUUAUUAAACUCACCCCCUGCUUCCUGA